Molecule: non-coding RNA, 2726 nt
Organism: Chlorocebus sabaeus (green monkey)
Lineage: Eukaryota; Metazoa; Chordata; Mammalia; Primates; Cercopithecidae
Source: RefSeq, a predicted model, not a curated record
AAAACCUGGUGGUAUAGAUGGGUGCGAGUGAAGAGGGGCACAGAGGGGCCACAUGGGGCCCGGGAGGCAAGGAAGGCCCUGGGAAGAGGAGGCAGGCCCUGUGCCCUCCCGCUGCCACCCCACCAGGCCAGCAGGCACACUGGAUUGCAGUUAGACCUUACUGAAGUGCUAGCAAGAACUGUCACCGUCUCAUGGGGUUCCCUCAACAAUUCUCCAAGAUGAAUGGCAUCUCGUCCAUCUUACAGAUGAGGCUCAGAUGGCUUAAAGUACUUGCCCAGAGUCCCAGCUAGUAAAGAGUAGAACUGCAAUCAUCCAUUCACCCAUGCACCUUGUGUCCAUCUCAGUGGCUGAGCAGCCGCUGCCAAUCGUCCUGAGGCAGGUCUGGGCAAGUGGCUCUGCCUAGGUGGCCACAGCUGCCAGUACGCAGGCCCCAGGAGGACCCAGGGCAGAGGGACAUGGGGAAGCAUCGUUGGGAGGGAAAAGGCAAAGGCACAGAAGCAGGAGGUGACAAGUGUCCUGUGACUCGGCACCCCUCCUCUCGCCUGUGCUUCUGUCCUUCCUCCCGCAGUGUCCCCUUCUCUACUGCCACCUCCCUCGUCCAAGCCGCUGGCACCUCUUGCCUAGGCAGCUGCAAGCAUCUCCAAACCGCCCUCCCCGCAUCCAUACUUUCUCCUACCGUCCAUUCUCAACGCGGCAGCCAGAGAGAUCUUUUAAAAAUAGAAAUUCCAUCAUGAUGUGCUCCUGCUUAAAGCCUUUCAAUGGUUCCCAGUGCACUUAGAAUAAAAGCCGGGCACCCUACCUUGGCUUCAAGUCCUUCCACAAUUUGGCCCGGCUGUCCUCUCCCUGCUUGGCUUGUGACCGCUCUUCACUCAAUGACUGGGCUCCAGCCACAUCGGCCUCCUUCCUGGCCCUUCAACAACCCUACUCCUCCCGCCUCGGGGCCGGGUGCACACUGGCCCCACCAUACGCCCCCCUUCUGGUUACUCUCAUCCUUCAGGUCUCAGCAUUCUUUCCUGGCACCCCAGACAGUGUCAGAUCCCAUUAUACGCUCUAGCACCUUUUCUUCCGCGAAACAUAUCACACACGGUAAUAGAUUUCUCUGUCUCUUUCCCUGAUUUUUGUCUGGCUUUCCCGGAAGGCAAGGAUUCCCAGAAAGGCCUCUCUGUUACCAACCACUGGAUCUCGGUGUCUAACACCGUUUCUGGCACAUAGUAGGCACUCGAUACAUAUUUGUUAAGUGAAUGCAUAAUUGAACAGAUGAAUCAAUGCCAAUGAAAUGGCCUGAUGGAGCAGCAGGACUGUGCUGAGGUGAAGUGGCAGCUAAGGUCAGAGGGAGAGGAGCAGACGGGGCUUGCAUGGGAUGGAGAAGGGAAGAGGGGGCCAGGUGAAGGUCUGAAGCCAGGAGUCAUGAGCUCUUGGGAGGCUUAGUCAGAGGUGGGGCUGGCCCAGGAGGUGCAGGGGGCACAGGCCAGCCCGGAGGCCUGAGGUGAGGAGAUUCUGAACCCAGGUGUGAGCAGGACGGAGGACGCCUGGAACCUAAGCCUGGCUGGUGCAGAAGAUGAAGGGAAGGAGGAGCCCCGGAGGAUUCCAGCACCUUCCCCCAGAGACUCUGGAAGCACCGAGGAGCUCCGACAGGAGCAGAGUCCCCCACGGACCUUGCCCAGGGGACCCCUGGCAUCAAUUCAGGUAAAAUGCAUGAGGACAAGUGUUCUGGGAAUACUGGAAGCUCCAAGAAGUCGCUGCACCCCAGUCAGCUCUCAUCAACACCAGAGGAGGCAGGCUCCUAGCUGGCAAAUUCCUACUCAUCCAUCAGAACCCAUUUUGAAUGGUCCCUCUUCUGGGAAAUUUUCUUCAGCACCAUCAAAGGGAGCUCAUACUGGCUUCCUGCAGCUCCUGUCAUGCUGCGUGUGGCUGGCUUAUCUAUACAUCUGUGUCUCCAUUAGGCCAGAAAUGCCUUGAGGGCCAUAACGGUGCCUCAUUCUUUUCUACACCCCCGGAACCUAGAAGAGUGCCCAGCUCGUGGUUGUUGCUGGGCACACGCUCGUGGAAGAGACUGGAGGAUUGGAGUUCUGCUCAAAACCUUCGCCCUGCCAGCUGGCUACCUGUACCUCCAGACAGCUGAACCUCUCGCUGGUUGAGCCAUCUCUAACCUGGCCCUCGUGGUGCCUGCAAAGGAGGGCAUCCAGAAGCACACGGACACUCACUGCUCACCCUCAGUGCCAUUUAGUGGGUGACCUGGCUGUCACCUUACAGAAGAGGUGGGGUGCUAAGUGGGUGGGACGGCAGGUGGGGAAAGGUCCCUGGGGUACGCGGUGAAGAUUCUGGAAGGCUAGGGCUUGGGGCAGCUGGAGUAGGGAUCUACUCCCCUUGGAUGAAUGGGGAGCCAUUGGCAAAGGGUUACAGCUUCUCUAAGCGGGGUCCUAGCACCCAAAGGCCCUGGGAUAGAAAUCACUGCUUAAUCGCAUGCCCAGCUUCCUGGUUACCUUGAAUCCUCAGAGAUAAGAGAUAAAGACCGGCCUUCAGAGGGGGCUUGCAGGAGAGAGAAAGGACAUUUGUCUCCGCGGCCUCCAGGCAUGGUUCAGAGCUGUUGUUCCUGUCCCAUGCGAGGGAGGGGGGCAGAGAACGGCAACAGAUGGCGUGUGUUUAACAACCUGGUAUCAAGCAUUUGCUGGGUGUCAGGCACUGUUCUAAGUGCUUUUACAAUUCACUUAUUUGUUGAACCCUCA